Molecule: long non-coding RNA, 234 nt
Organism: Hyaena hyaena (striped hyena)
Lineage: Eukaryota; Metazoa; Chordata; Mammalia; Carnivora; Hyaenidae
Exons: 3
Source: RefSeq, a predicted model, not a curated record
GGCCCCAAGCUUCUGCCUGGUGAGAGCGCAGCCUGCUCCCGCCUCUGCGUCCCUUGCUGGUCCCCGGCUCCCGAGGACAGCUUUGGCUUGCACGGAAGUCUUUCUGAUUGGGUCGUGGACUCUUGCAUGGAGGUCCAGCGUGCAACAGAUAAGAACGGAGCUGCUGGCUGAAGAGACAGAUGCCCACUCUGGCCGCUCUCCCUCACCGCCAGGCCCGGUCAGACAGCUCAGCCG